GGUUAAGCGACUAAGCGUACACGGUGGAUGCCCUGGCAGUCAGAGGCGAUGAAGGACGUGCUAAUCUGCGAUAAGCGUCGGUAAGGUGAUAUGAACCGUUAUAACCGGCGAUUUCCGAAUGGGGAAACCCAGUGUGUUUCGACACACUAUCAUUAACUGAAUCCAUAGGUUAAUGAGGCGAACCGGGGGAACUGAAACAUCUAAGUACCCCGAGGAAAAGAAAUCAACCGAGAUUCCCCCAGUAGCGGCGAGCGAACGGGGAGCAGCCCAGAGCCUGAAUCAGUGUGUGUGUUAGUGGAAGCGUCUGGAAAGGCGCGCGAUACAGGGUGACAGCCCCGUACACAAAAAUGCACAUGCUGUGAGCUCGAUGAGUAGGGCGGGACACGUGGUAUCCUGUCUGAAUAUGGGGGGACCAUCCUCCAAGGCUAAAUACUCCUGACUGACCGAUAGUGAACCAGUACCGUGAGGGAAAGGCGAAAAGAACCCCGGCGAGGGGAGUGAAAAAGAACCUGAAACCGUGUACGUACAAGCAGUGGGAGCACGCUUAGGCGUGUGACUGCGUACCUUUUGUAUAAUGGGUCAGCGACUUAUAUUCUGUAGCAAGGUUAACCGAAUAGGGGAGCCGAAGGGAAACCGAGUCUUAACUGGGCGUUAAGUUGCAGGGUAUAGACCCGAAACCCGGUGAUCUAGCCAUGGGCAGGUUGAAGGUUGGGUAACACUAACUGGAGGACCGAACCGACUAAUGUUGAAAAAUUAGCGGAUGACUUGUGGCUGGGGGUGAAAGGCCAAUCAAACCGGGAGAUAGCUGGUUCUCCCCGAAAGCUAUUUAGGUAGCGCCUCGUGAAUUCAUCUCCGGGGGUAGAGCACUGUUUCGGCAAGGGGGUCAUCCCGACUUACCAACCCGAUGCAAACUGCGAAUACCGGAGAAUGUUAUCACGGGAGACACACGGCGGGUGCUAACGUCCGUCGUGAAGAGGGAAACAACCCAGACCGCCAGCUAAGGUCCCAAAGUCAUGGUUAAGUGGGAAACGAUGUGGGAAGGCCCAGACAGCCAGGAUGUUGGCUUAGAAGCAGCCAUCAUUUAAAGAAAGCGUAAUAGCUCACUGGUCGAGUCGGCCUGCGCGGAAGAUGUAACGGGGCUAAACCAUGCACCGAAGCUGCGGCAGCGACACUAUGUGUUGUUGGGUAGGGGAGCGUUCUGUAAGCCUGUGAAGGUGUGCUGUGAGGCAUGCUGGAGGUAUCAGAAGUGCGAAUGCUGACAUAAGUAACGAUAAAGCGGGUGAAAAGCCCGCUCGCCGGAAGACCAAGGGUUCCUGUCCAACGUUAAUCGGGGCAGGGUGAGUCGACCCCUAAGGCGAGGCCGAAAGGCGUAGUCGAUGGGAAACAGGUUAAUAUUCCUGUACUUGGUGUUACUGCGAAGGGGGGACGGAGAAGGCUAUGUUGGCCGGGCGACGGUUGUCCCGGUUUAAGCGUGUAGGCUGGUUUUCCAGGCAAAUCCGGAAAAUCAAGGCUGAGGCGUGAUGACGAGGCACUACGGUGCUGAAGCAACAAAUGCCCUGCUUCCAGGAAAAGCCUCUAAGCAUCAGGUAACAUCAAAUCGUACCCCAAACCGACACAGGUGGUCAGGUAGAGAAUACCAAGGCGCUUGAGAGAACUCGGGUGAAGGAACUAGGCAAAAUGGUGCCGUAACUUCGGGAGAAGGCACGCUGAUAUGUAGGUGAAGUCCCUCGCGGAUGGAGCUGAAAUCAGUCGAAGAUACCAGCUGGCUGCAACUGUUUAUUAAAAACACAGCACUGUGCAAACACGAAAGUGGACGUAUACGGUGUGACGCCUGCCCGGUGCCGGAAGGUUAAUUGAUGGGGUCAGCGCAAGCGAAGCUCUUGAUCGAAGCCCCGGUAAACGGCGGCCGUAACUAUAACGGUCCUAAGGUAGCGAAAUUCCUUGUCGGGUAAGUUCCGACCUGCACGAAUGGCGUAAUGAUGGCCAGGCUGUCUCCACCCGAGACUCAGUGAAAUUGAACUCGCUGUGAAGAUGCAGUGUACCCGCGGCAAGACGGAAAGACCCCGUGAACCUUUACUAUAGCUUGACACUGAACAUUGAGCCUUGAUGUGUAGGAUAGGUGGGAGGCUUUGAAGUGUGGACGCCAGUCUGCAUGGAGCCGACCUUGAAAUACCACCCUUUAAUGUUUGAUGUUCUAACGUUGACCCGUAAUCCGGGUUGCGGACAGUGUCUGGUGGGUAGUUUGACUGGGGCGGUCUCCUCCUAAAGAGUAACGGAGGAGCACGAAGGUUGGCUAAUCCUGGUCGGACAUCAGGAGGUUAGUGCAAUGGCAUAAGCCAGCUUGACUGCGAGCGUGACGGCGCGAGCAGGUGCGAAAGCAGGUCAUAGUGAUCCGGUGGUUCUGAAUGGAAGGGCCAUCGCUCAACGGAUAAAAGGUACUCCGGGGAUAACAGGCUGAUACCGCCCAAGAGUUCAUAUCGACGGCGGUGUUUGGCACCUCGAUGUCGGCUCAUCACAUCCUGGGGCUGAAGUAGGUCCCAAGGGUAUGGCUGUUCGCCAUUUAAAGUGGUACGCGAGCUGGGUUUAGAACGUCGUGAGACAGUUCGGUCCCUAUCUGCCGUGGGCGCUGGAGAACUGAGGGGGGCUGCUCCUAGUACGAGAGGACCGGAGUGGACGCAUCACUGGUGUUCGGGUUGUCAUGCCAAUGGCACUGCCCGGUAGCUAAAUGCGGAAGAGAUAAGUGCUGAAAGCAUCUAAGCACGAAACUUGCCCCGAGAUGAGUUCUCCCUGACUCCUUGAGAGUCCUGAAGGAACGUUGAAGACGACGACGUUGAUAGGCCGGGUGUGUAAGCGCAGCGAUGCGUUGAGCUAACCGGUACUAAUGAACCGUGAGGCUUAACCUU
Molecule: ribosomal RNA, 2903 nt
Filed under: Escherichia coli
Lineage: Bacteria; Pseudomonadati; Pseudomonadota; Gammaproteobacteria; Enterobacterales; Enterobacteriaceae
Description: 23S ribosomal RNA
Rfam family: Bacterial large subunit ribosomal RNA
Source: RNAcentral